Molecule: small nucleolar RNA, 88 nt
Filed under: Olea europaea subsp. europaea
Lineage: Eukaryota; Viridiplantae; Streptophyta; Magnoliopsida; Lamiales; Oleaceae
Description: Small nucleolar RNA SNORD96 family
Rfam family: Small nucleolar RNA SNORD96 family
About the family: snoRNA Z37 is a member of the C/D class of snoRNA which contain the C (UGAUGA) and D (CUGA) box motifs. Z37 acts as a methylation guide for 5.8S ribosomal RNA.
Source: Rfam by way of RNAcentral
UGGCCAGUGAUGAAAUCUGAUAAAUCAUACCAUCUUUCGGGACUGAAUGGCCUCAAGGCCUUGCUGUUAUUCUGCAAUUCUGAGGCCA